UAAAACUUAUUUACACACCAGUUUCCUUUUAUUUUUGGACACCGUGUAUCUACACCACAGAAUACAGAAUUAUUAUUUAGUUGGUAUCCCUGGUGUCGAUACGGUAGUAUUCUGCAGUCGGCUAUGCCGUUGCCUCGGGUUGCGGUAAAAGGGCAAUGGCGGCGAUCUCAGGUGUCGAGAUGUCGGAGCUGAUCGCCUCGGCUCAGCGGUACUCUAAUUUGGCGGUAGCUGUAAGUUUAUCGAUUAGCGGAUUUUUAUCCGGGAGUUGGUGAAUGACACCAGCACUUCCGAAUACUCGGCCCGUCAGUGCGGUAUGGUACUUAUGCUAGAGGUGGUACACAGGAUGUGACACGGCCACUACCCCCGUACACCACGCUCGAGGUUGAAGCAGAAUCAACGGUCGCAAACUGGAGGAAUGCAGGUCGAAGGCCCCACAGUUCCCAGUUCCCGUACUUUGACUCGCCUCGUAUCUAAGGGACUGGUGAUAGUAUGGUAACGAAAAGCAAGAUGUGACACGGCCACUACCUCCGCUUAACGUUCACAACCUUACGACUAAAUCAAGCAAGCGGGAGCUGGCUACAUGCGGGUCACAGGCCCCACAGGUAUCGAACUUCCGGGUGUUUGAGGGUUCGUCUUUCAAGGACUGGAUGAUUUCUAAUGAAUGGCGAGGUUAAGGGUGCAGGGACAGGUGGGUUAAGGAUAUAAGCGGAACGGAAACGGUAUCGAAUGCAAACGGGAAAUCGGAUGAAUGAUUAUCAGUUUCAGGUCUGGAUUCAGGUUUUCGGUCAUCAAAUGACAGGAUAGAAGUGUCUUCUAAACUCAAGGGAUCCUCCUUUUAUACAGCCAUGAUUAGGACUACGACUAGGAAGUGGAAAUGACACUUGAUUAUGUUAUCAUUAAUGAUUAGUUAGCGACAUCUAUUGAUGUCAAUGUAGUGCAUUUGUAAAGGAGCGUUUACACGCUCCCAUAAAUAAAGGCACGGGUACAUUGUUACCUUA
Long non-coding RNA from Photinus pyralis (common eastern firefly), 998 nucleotides. RefSeq lists it as uncharacterized. The record is from RefSeq and is a predicted model, not a curated record. Lineage: Eukaryota; Metazoa; Arthropoda; Insecta; Coleoptera; Lampyridae. The transcript is spliced from 2 exons.